Molecule: small nuclear RNA, 101 nt
Organism: Cricetulus griseus (Chinese hamster)
Lineage: Eukaryota; Metazoa; Chordata; Mammalia; Rodentia; Cricetidae
Source: Ensembl
AUGCUCCCUUCGGCAGCACAUACACUAAAAUUGAAACGAUACAGAGAAAAGAUUAGCAUGGCCCCUGUGCAAGAAAAAAAUUUUUUUAAUUUCCUAUUUUU